ACCAUCGAUAUUGGAGAAAGCGACAAGAAUGGCAAGGGAAGCACUAGAGCUGGGACAUCAGGACCUAGGGCACCAAAGAUACAUUGGCCUCAAGCUUUAUCAGAGUUCGUACUUGAUUGGUACAUUGAGAAGAAGAUGGAGCUGCCACCAAAGGCGGUGUUUAAGAAGCUGCAUCACAAUGCAUGUACAAAAGCAGUAAAUGAGAAGUAUGGCAGUACCUACACUUUUGAACAAGUUCAUCGUCACUUUAGACAUCAUAAAGAGACUUGGGCACUUGUAGCUCGCCAUAUGAAUGCUAGUGGUAAUGGCUGGGAUAAUCUGACAAAAAUGGUUACUCUCUCCAAAACUGCUUUGGAUGAACGGUCGGUAAUGACCUUUAUCACUUGA
Molecule: ribosomal RNA, 387 nt
Filed under: Triticum aestivum (bread wheat)
Lineage: Eukaryota; Viridiplantae; Streptophyta; Magnoliopsida; Poales; Poaceae
Description: partial small subunit ribosomal RNA
Source: RNAcentral